AGUAUCAGGUGAUGAAACCUUGAAACAAUCUUAGGACACCUUCUGACACAGUGCUGUUUUCCUGUGAAUGAGAAGUCAUUUAUUUUCUGAUGAUACA
Molecule: non-coding RNA, 97 nt
Organism: Triticum aestivum (bread wheat)
Lineage: Eukaryota; Viridiplantae; Streptophyta; Magnoliopsida; Poales; Poaceae
Source: Rfam